Molecule: ribosomal RNA, 253 nt
Filed under: uncultured bacterium
Lineage: Bacteria
Description: partial 16S ribosomal RNA
Rfam family: Bacterial small subunit ribosomal RNA
Source: RNAcentral
UACGUAGGGAGCAAGCGUUGUCCGGAAUCAUUGGGCGUAAAGCGCGCGUAGGCGGCCCCGUAAGUCCGCUGUGAAAGUCAAAGGCUCAACCUUUGAAAGCCGGUGGAUACUGUGGGGCUAGAGUCCGGAAGAGGCGAGUGGAAUUCCUGGUGUAGCGGUGGAAUGCGCAGAUAUCAGGAGGAACACCAAUGGCGAAGGCAGCACUCUGGGACGUGACUGACGCUGAGACGCGAAAGCGUGGGGAGCAAACAGG